UGGGGAAUUUUGGACAAUGGGCGAAAGCCUGAUCCAGCAAUGCCGCGUGUGUGAAGAAGGCCUUCGGGUUGUAAAGCACUUUUGUCCGGAAAGAAAUCCUUGGCUCUAAUACAGUCGGGGGAUGACGGUACCGGAAGAAUAAGCACCGGCUAACUACGUGCCAGCAGCCGCGGUAAUACGUAGGGUGCAAGCGUUAAUCGGAAUUACUGGGCGUAAAGCGUGCGCAGGCGGUUUGCUAAGACCGAUGUGAAAUCCCCGGGCUCAACCUGGGAACUGCAUUGGUGACUGGCAGGCUAGAGUAUGGCAGAGGGGGGUAGAAUUCCACGUGUAGCAGUGAAAUGCGUAGAGAUGUGGAGGAAUACCGAUGGCGAAGGCAGCCCCCUGGGCCAAUACUGACGCUCAUGCACGAAAGCGUGGGGAGCAAACAGGAUUAGAUACCCCUGGUAGUCCACGCCCUAAAACGAUGUCAACUAGUUGUUGGGGAUUCAUUUCCUUAGUAACGUAGCUAACGCGUGAAGUUGACCGCCUGGGGAGUACGGUCGCAAGAUUAGAACUCAAAUGAAUUGACGGGGUC
Molecule: ribosomal RNA, 574 nt
Filed under: uncultured bacterium
Lineage: Bacteria
Description: partial 16S ribosomal RNA
Rfam family: Bacterial small subunit ribosomal RNA
Source: RNAcentral